This 301-nucleotide ribosomal RNA is filed under the name uncultured bacterium. RNAcentral's name for it is "partial 16S ribosomal RNA". It matches the Rfam family "Bacterial small subunit ribosomal RNA", at positions 509 to 807 of the family's 1533-position model. The record is from RNAcentral.
CAGUCGCCACGGUAAUACGAAGGGGGCUAGCGUUGUUCGGAUUUACUGGGCGUAAAGCGCACGUAGGCGGACUUUUAAGUCAGGGGUGAAAUCCCGGGGCUCAACCCCGGAACUGCCUUUGAUACUGGAAGUCUUGAGUAUGGUAGAGGUGAGUGGAAUUCCGAGUGUAGAGGUGAAAUUCGUAGAUAUUAGCUAGAACACCAGUGGCGAAGGCGGCCAACUGGUCCGACACUGACGCUGAGGUGCGAAAGCGUGGGGAGCAAACAGGAUUAGAUACCCCAGUAGUCCCUGUCUCUUAUAC